RNAcentral lists this ribosomal RNA (340 nucleotides) under uncultured bacterium. RNAcentral describes it as "bacterial SSU rRNA". It matches the Rfam family "Bacterial small subunit ribosomal RNA", at positions 28 to 365 of the family's 1533-position model. The record is from RNAcentral.
GAUGAACGCUAGCGACAGGCUUAACACAUGCAAGUCGAGGGCAGCACAGGUAGCAAUACCGGGUGGCGACCGGCGCACGGGUGAGUAACGCGUAUGCAACUUGCCUAUCAGAGGGGGAUAACCCGGCGAAAGUCGGACUAAUACCGCAUGAAGCAGGGAUCCCGCAUGGGAAUAUUUGCUAAAGAUUCAUCGCUGAUAGAUAGGCAUGCGUUCCAUUAGGCAGUUGGCGGGGUAACGGCCCNCCAAACCGACGAUGGAUAGGGGUUCUGAGAGGAAGGGUCCCCCACAUUGGUACUGAGACACGGCCAAACUCCUACGGGAGGCAGCAGUGAGGAAUAUU